RNAcentral lists this ribosomal RNA (681 nucleotides) under uncultured marine bacterium. Its description in RNAcentral is "bacterial SSU rRNA". It matches the Rfam family "Bacterial small subunit ribosomal RNA", at positions 37 to 733 of the family's 1533-position model. The record is from RNAcentral.
GGGCGGUGUGUCUAAGGUAUGCAAGUCGAACGAGAUCGCUUUCUUCGGAAAGCAUUAUAUCUAGUGGCAGACGGCUGAGUAACGCGUAAGUAACUUACCCUAGAGUGGGGAAUAACACAGAGAAAUCUGUGCUAAUACCGCAUACGAUUUAUUGAUAAUUUCUAUAAAUGAAAGAUUUAUCGCUCUUGGAUGGGCUUGCGUCCUAUCAGGUAGUUGGCGGGGUAAUGGCCCACCAAGCCUAAGACGGGUAGCUGGUGUGAGAGCACGACCAGCCAGAGGGGGACUGAGACACGGCCCCCACUCCUACGGGAGGCAGCAGCUAAGAAUAUUGCACAAUGGACGAAAGUCUGAUGCAGCGACACCGCGUGAGGGAUGAAGGUUUUAGGAUUGUAAACCUCUUUUAUUAGGGAAUAGCAAGGAAGGUACCUAAUGAAUAAGCUACGGCUAACUACGUGCCAGCAGCCGCGGUAAUACGUAGGUAGCGAACGUUGUCCGGAAUCACUGGGCGUAAAGGGUCCGUAGGCGGUUUGAUAAGUCUCAUAUGAAAACUUCAAGCUCAACUUGGAGAGGUUGUGAGAUACUGUCAAACUAGAGACUGUUAGAGGUAAGUGGAAUUCCAGGUGUAGUGGUGAAAUGCGUAGAUAUCUGGAGGAACACCAGUGGCGAAAGCGACUUACUGGG